GAACCUGCGGAGGGAUCAUUACUGAGUGAGGGCGCGAGCCCGACCUCCAACCCCAUGUUUCCAAACCAUGUUGCCUCGGGGGCGACCCGGCCUUUGCGUCGGGGCCCCCGGUGGACCCCUCAACUCUGCAUCUUUGCGUCUGAGUAACAUAAUAAAUCAAUCAAAACUUUCAACAACGGAUCUCUUGGUUCUGGCAUCGAUGAAGAACGCAGCGAAAUGCGAUAAGUAAUGUGAAUUGCAGAAUUCAGUGAAUCAUCGAAUCUUUGAACGCACAUUGCGCCCUCUGGUAUUCCGGAGGGCAUGCCUGUUCGAGCGUCAUUACACCACUCCAGCCUCGCUGGGUAUUGGGCGCCGCGGCCUCCGCGCGCCUUAAUGUCUCCGGCCGAGCCGACCGUCUCCAAGCGUUGUGGCACAACUGUUUCGCUUUCGGGACCGGUCCGGCGACGCGCCGUUAAACCCUUUCUCCAAAGGUUGACCUCGGAUCAGGUACGGAUACCCGCUGAACUUACGCAUAUCAAUAAGCGGAGGA
Molecule: ribosomal RNA, 529 nt
Filed under: Teratosphaeria zuluensis
Lineage: Eukaryota; Fungi; Ascomycota; Dothideomycetes; Mycosphaerellales; Teratosphaeriaceae
Description: eukaryotic LSU rRNA
Rfam family: 5.8S ribosomal RNA (bases 165-318)
Source: RNAcentral